CGUAGGUAACCUGCCUGGUAGCGGGGGAUAACUAUUGGAAACGAUAGCUAAUACCGCAUAAGAGUAGAUGUUGCAUGACAUUUGCUUAAAAGGUGCAAUUGCAUCACUACCAGAUGGACCUGCGUUGUAUUGGCUAGUUGGUGGGGUAACGGCUCACCAAGGCGACGAUACAUAGCCGACCUGAGAGGGUGAUCGGCCACACUGGGACUGAGACACGGCCCAG
RNAcentral lists this ribosomal RNA (223 nucleotides) under uncultured bacterium. RNAcentral describes it as "partial 16S ribosomal RNA". It matches the Rfam family "Bacterial small subunit ribosomal RNA", at positions 116 to 334 of the family's 1533-position model. The record is from RNAcentral.